RNAcentral lists this microRNA precursor (63 nucleotides) under Eptatretus burgeri (inshore hagfish). RNAcentral describes it as "Ebu-Mir-17-P2e_pre stem-loop". It matches the Rfam family "mir-17 microRNA precursor family", at positions 11 to 71 of the family's 80-position model. From Rfam's summary of the family: This family represents the microRNA (miRNA) precursor mir-17, family, which includes mir-20, mir-91, and mir-103. miRNAs are transcribed as ~70nt precursors (modelled here) and subsequently processed by the Dicer enzyme to give a ~22nt product. In this case the mature sequence comes from the 3' arm of the precursor. Lineage: Eukaryota; Metazoa; Chordata; Myxini; Myxiniformes; Myxinidae. The record is from RNAcentral.
UAAGGUGCAUCUAGUGCAGAUAGUUGCAAAGUCCAUAAUCUACUGCUCUACUUGCUCCUUCCG